AGUGGCACAAUCGUAAAUAUUUCGAAAUGAGAUUUUUUAUAUAAAAACUAAGACUUCUCUCUCUCUCUCUCUCUCUCUCUCUCUCUCUCUCUCUCUCUCUCUCUCUCCCUCUCCCGUCGGCUCUCUCUCUCUCUCCUCGUAUCUCCGGCCACCGACCACGGCUGUGGACGGGGCCGGUACCAAAACGACCGGGACGACGUCC
Molecule: long non-coding RNA, 202 nt
Filed under: Prunus persica (peach)
Lineage: Eukaryota; Viridiplantae; Streptophyta; Magnoliopsida; Rosales; Rosaceae
Description: long non-coding RNA (PPER_LNC000071)
Source: RNAcentral